RNAcentral lists this ribosomal RNA (486 nucleotides) under uncultured bacterium. RNAcentral's name for it is "bacterial SSU rRNA". It matches the Rfam family "Bacterial small subunit ribosomal RNA", at positions 28 to 525 of the family's 1533-position model. The record is from RNAcentral.
GAUGAACGCUAGCGGCAGGCUUAAUACAUGCAAGUCGAGGGGUCAGCAAUGACACCGGCGGACGGGUGCGUAACGCGUAUGCAACCUACCUACAUCAGGGGGAUAGCCCUAGGAAACUGGGAUUAACACCGCAUAAUAUUAUUAAUGGCAUCAUUGAUAAUUGAAAUAUUUAUAGGAAGUAGAUGGGCAUGCGUAAGAUUAGCUAGUUGGUAAGGUAACGGCUUACCAAGGCUACGAUCUUUAGGGGCUCUGAGAGGAGUAUCCCCCACACUGGCACUGAGAUACGGGCCAGACUCCUACGGGAGGCAGCAGUAGGGAAUAUUGGGCAAUGGAGGCAACUCUGACCCAGCCAUGCCGCGUGCAGGAAGACGGCCCUCGUGGGUUGUAAACUGCUUUUGAAUGGGAAGAAUGUGUGGCUUGCGAGCUAUAAUGACGGUACCAUUAGAAUAAGCCACGGCUAACUACGUGCCAGCAGCCGCGGUAAAA